GUGCCAGCAGCCGCGGUAAUACGUAGGGCGCAAGCGUUGUCCGGAAUUAUUGGGCGUAAAGAGCUCGUAGGCGGCUUGUUGCGUCGGUUGUGAAAGCCCGGGGCUUAACCCCGGGUCUGCAGUCGAUACGGGCAGGCUAGAGUGUGGUAGGGGAGAUCGGAAUUCCUGGUGUAGCGGUGAAAUGCGCAGAUAUCAGGAGGAACACCGGUGGCGAAGGCGGAUCUCUGGGCCAUUACUGACGCUGAGGAGCGAAAGCGUGGGGAGCGAACAGGAUUAGAAACCCUUGUAGUCC
Molecule: ribosomal RNA, 292 nt
Filed under: uncultured bacterium
Lineage: Bacteria
Description: partial 16S ribosomal RNA
Rfam family: Bacterial small subunit ribosomal RNA
Source: RNAcentral